This 579-nucleotide ribosomal RNA is filed under the name uncultured bacterium. RNAcentral's name for it is "bacterial SSU rRNA". It matches the Rfam family "Bacterial small subunit ribosomal RNA", at positions 521 to 1103 of the family's 1533-position model. The record is from RNAcentral.
UAAUACGAGGGGUGCAAGCGUUGUUCGGAAUUACUGGGCGUAAAGGGAGCGUAGGCGGAGAUUCAAGCGGAUUGUACAAUCCCGGGGCCCAACCCCGGCUCUGCAGUCCGAACUGGAUCUCUUGGAUAGUUCAGGGGCAGGCGGAAUUCCUGGUGUAGCGGUGGAAUGCGUAGAGAUCAGGAAGAACACCGAUGGCGAAGGCAGCCUGCUGGGGACUCAUCGACGCUGAGGCUCGAAAGUGCGGGUAGCAAACAGGAUUAGAUACCCUGGUAGUCCGCACCGUAAACAAUGCAUACUGGGUGUCCGGGGGUAUCCCCGGGUACCGUAGCCAACGCGUUAAGUAUGCCGCCUGGGGAGUACGUACGCAAGUAUGAAACUCAAAGGAAUUGACGGGGGCCCGCACAAGCGGUGGAGCAUGUGGUUUAAUUCGAGGCAACGCGAAGAACCUUACCCAGGCUUGACAUCCGGGGCACCGCGGCGAAAGCCGCGUCCCAGCAAUGGGCCCCGAGACAGAUGCUGCAUGGCUGUCGUCAGCUCGUGCCGUGAGGUGUUCGGUUAAGUUCGGCAACGAGCGCAACC